This 309-nucleotide long non-coding RNA is filed under the name Vigna radiata. RNAcentral's name for it is "long non-coding RNA (VRAD_LNC016461)". Lineage: Eukaryota; Viridiplantae; Streptophyta; Magnoliopsida; Fabales; Fabaceae. The record is from RNAcentral.
CUUUAGUUAACACUAUAACUUAAGAGCUCUUCAAGAGUUAAUUAUUUCUGUAAUUAUGGUUCUAACUGAUACCUUACUGUUAUAAAUACAUAGCCUUAUUAUGCUCACAGUUUCAUACCUACUAGAAGAGUACGAAUAAUACUCAGCCUCUUCGAAUUUAAGAAAACAACCGCCCUAUUGAAAAGUAGUCCUCAACCAUACGUCUUUUCUCUCAAUUGUUUGUGAAAAAGAUAAUGUACAAUGUUUGAACAACACAGGCCCUUAUAAAAAAAACUACAGGUAAAGUUCCAAGUUUCAAACACUACAGGG